GACGAACGCUGGCGGCGUGCUUAACACAUGCAAGUCGAACGGAAAGGCCCUGCUUUUGUGGGGUGCUCGAGUGGCGAACGGGUGAGUAACACGUGAGUAACCUGCCCUUGUCUUUGGGAUAACUUCAGGAAACUGGGGCUAAUACAGGAUAUGAGCUCCUUAUGCAUGGUGGGGGUUGGAAAGUUUCGGCGGUUCGGGAUGCACUCGCGGCUUAUCGUCUUGUUGGUGGGGUAGUGGCUUACCAAGGCUUUGAGGGGUAGCCGGCCUGCGAGGGUGACCGGCCACAUUGGGACUGGGAAGCGGCCCAGACUCCUACGGGAGGCAGCAGUGGGGAAUAUUGCACGAUGGGCGGAGGCCGGAUGCAGCAACGCCGCGUGCUGGAUGACGGCCGUCGGGUUGGAAACCGCUUGCGCCUGUGACGAAGCGUGAGUGACGGUAAUGGGUAAAGAAGCACCGGCUAACUACGUG
Molecule: ribosomal RNA, 468 nt
Filed under: uncultured bacterium
Lineage: Bacteria
Description: partial 16S ribosomal RNA
Rfam family: Bacterial small subunit ribosomal RNA
Source: RNAcentral